This 402-nucleotide ribosomal RNA is filed under the name uncultured bacterium. RNAcentral describes it as "bacterial SSU rRNA". It matches the Rfam family "Bacterial small subunit ribosomal RNA", at positions 84 to 499 of the family's 1533-position model. The record is from RNAcentral.
CAGAAUGAUUAGUGGCGAACGGGUGAGUAACACGUGAGUAACCUGCCCCUGACUCUGGGAUAAGCCUGGGAAACUGGGUCUAAUACCGGAUAUGCACCGUGGACCGCAUGGUUUUUGGUGGAAAGAUUUUUUGGUCAGGGAUGGACUCGCGGCCUAUCAGCUUGUUGGUGAGGUAAUGGCUCACCAAGGCGACGACGGGUAGCCGGCCUGAGAGGGUGACCGGCCACACUGGGACUGAGACACGGCCCAGACUCCUACGGGAGGCAGCAGUGGGGAAUAUUGCACAAUGGGCGAAAGCCUGAUGCAGCGACGCCGCGUGAGGGAUGACGGCCUUCGGGUUGUAAACCUCUUUCAGUAGGGAAGAAGCGAAAGUGACGGUACCUGCAGAAGAAGCGCCGGCUA